AUGGACAUGAGGGUCCCUGCUCAGCUCCUGGGGCUCCUGCUGCUCUGGCUCUCAGGUGCCAGAUAUGACAUGCAGAUGACCCAGUCUCCAUCCUCGCUGUCUUCCUGUCUAGGUGAGAGUCACCAUCACAUGCCAGGAAAGUCAGGCAGGGCAUUAGCCAUGUUUUAGCCUGAUACAAAGAGAAGCCAGGGAAAGCUUCUGAGCUCCUGAUCUACGAUGCAUCCAAUUUGCAAACCUGGGUCCCAUUGCAGUUAUGUGGCAUUGGAUCCAGGACAGAUUUGAUUCUCACCAUUAGCAUCCUCCAGUCUGAAGUUGCUGCAACUUCUUAUUAUUGGUCAACAGUAUAAAAGUGACCCU
Non-coding RNA from Homo sapiens (human), 357 nucleotides. The record is from the annotation of a RefSeq genome assembly. NCBI's taxonomy places the organism in Eukaryota, Metazoa, Chordata, Mammalia, Primates, Hominidae.